GGCAAAUAGGGCUGGGGGCGGCUGCUCAGCCCCCCCCGGCGAUGUUUGCACAGGGCUCGGGGCCGGCUCCAGCCCUUCCCAUGCCGGCCAGAUCGGCCCCACGCGCUUUCCGGGGGCCCCCGGAGCUCGGCUGAGGCCGCCCCAACUCGUUCCAUGCACCGCGGCGGUGGGCUGAGCCAGGGGGCCCGGCGGGAGCCUCCGUCCCCGCUGCCUGGCGGGUCCCGCGCCGCCUGUCCCCGACGCCUCCACCCUUCCCUCCCGCAGCGUCCGGCUCCGAGAGCGGCAUGAACGGCGCCGGCGUCUUCCUGGGCCCCUGCGAAGGUGCCCUCUGCGGCGUCCCCGGCCAGAAACGCCGCCGCGUGUCGGCCGCGGAGCCCGUCCGCACUCCCAGCCCYGGCGCCCAGGCCCCCUGGGAGGAGGAGGAGGAGGAGGAAGAUGAGGACGAAGAUCGCUUCCGAGGGGUGCCGCUCCGGCGGACCUGCGUGCUCCGGACCUCCAUGCGCUCCCGGGAUGCUUUCCGCCGGCACAGCUGGGAGCCGGGCAAGGAGCUGCGCGGGGAACCCGGCUACGAGCAGCUCAGCGCCUGCCUCAAAGGGCUGAGUCCCGACAACUUCGACGCCGGCGCGGAGGGGCUGGCGCGGCCCCGGCGGGACCCCCGGCGCCUGCCCCUGCUCCACAGCCACGACGACCUGGAGUCGCUGCUCUCGCAGGACGAGGACGAGGACGACGGGAAGCCGGAGCAGGAGGGUGCGAAGCGGCUGCAGGCGUUUCGGGCCGGGCAGAGCCCCGGUGGCUGUGGCCUCUCCAAAUCCAUGUCGCUGAGCGGCAUCGACAGCUUCCCAGAUGCGGACGAAAUUUCCCUCUUCGCCUCCCAGCUGAGCCUGGCCAACGGCUUCAGCGCCGGGAGCUGCGGGCAGCUGGCGGCCACGGGCGAGCCGGGGAGCCUGCGCCGGGACGAGACCCGCCUGGGCCGGACCCUCAGCUUCAUCAGGAGGAUGACGGGGAAGUCCAAGGUAGGAGGAGGGCGGAUUCGGGGCGGGAUGCGUCCGCGGUCCUCGCGCGGGGUGGGGGGGGUGUUGG
This 1080-nucleotide long non-coding RNA is filed under the name Apteryx rowi (Okarito brown kiwi). RNAcentral's name for it is "lncRNA (ENSARWG00000012223.1)". Lineage: Eukaryota; Metazoa; Chordata; Aves; Apterygiformes; Apterygidae. The record is from RNAcentral.